This 97-nucleotide ribosomal RNA is filed under the name uncultured bacterium. Its description in RNAcentral is "partial 16S ribosomal RNA". It matches the Rfam family "Bacterial small subunit ribosomal RNA", at positions 1386 to 1482 of the family's 1533-position model. The record is from RNAcentral.
CACACCGCCCGUCACACCAUGGGAGUUUGUUGCACCAGAAGCAAGUAGCUUAACCGCAAGGGGGGCGCUUGCCACGGUGUGGCCGAUGACUGGGGUG